CCCUUAGAUGUUCUGGGCCGCACGCGUGCUACACUGAGUGGGUCAGCGGGUCAGGUUGCGCGAAAGUGUUUCCUAAUCUUGAAAUCCGCUCGUGAUGGGGAUUGACGGUUGCAAUUUUCCGUCAUGAACGAGGAAUACCUUGUAAGCGCGGGUCAUCAUCCCGCGCUGAAUACGUCCCUGCCCUCUGUACACACCGCCCGUCGCUCCUACCGAUUGAGUGGUCCGGUGAGGCUUUGGGAUCUGAGCGGAAAGAGCGUUUCGCUGUUUCUGCUCGGAAAACUCAGUCGAACCUUAUCAUUUAGAGGAAGGAGAAGUCGUAACA
Molecule: ribosomal RNA, 322 nt
Filed under: uncultured eukaryote
Lineage: Eukaryota
Description: partial 18S ribosomal RNA
Rfam family: Eukaryotic small subunit ribosomal RNA
Source: RNAcentral